GUGUCAGCCGCCGCGGUAAUACAGAGGUGGCAAGCGUUGUUCGGAAUUACUGGGCGUAAAGGGCGCGUAGGCGGCCUUCUAAGUCGGACGUGAAAGCCCCAGGCUUAACCUGGGAACUGCGUCCGAUACUGGGAGGCUUGGAUUCGGGAGAGGGAUGUGGAAUUCCAGGUGUAGCGGUGAAAUGCGUAGAUAUCUGGAGGAACACCGGUGGCGAAGGCGGCAUCCUGGACCGAGAUCGACGCUGAGGCGCGAAAGCUAGGGGAGCAAACGGGAUUAGAAACCCUCGUAGUCC
RNAcentral lists this ribosomal RNA (292 nucleotides) under uncultured bacterium. Its description in RNAcentral is "partial 16S ribosomal RNA". It matches the Rfam family "Bacterial small subunit ribosomal RNA", at positions 505 to 796 of the family's 1533-position model. The record is from RNAcentral.